Molecule: ribosomal RNA, 255 nt
Filed under: uncultured bacterium
Lineage: Bacteria
Description: partial 16S ribosomal RNA
Rfam family: Bacterial small subunit ribosomal RNA
Source: RNAcentral
UACGUAGGGUGCGAGCGUUGUCCGGAAUUAUUGGGCGUAAAGAGCUCGUAGGCGGUGUGUCGCGUCGGCCGUGAAAACCUGCAGCUUAACUGUGGGCUUGCGGUCGAUACGGGCAUCACUGGAGUUCGGCAGGGGAGACUGGAAUUCCUGGUGUAGCGGUGAAAUGCGCAGAUAUCAGGAGGAACACCGGUGGCGAAGGCGGGUCUCUGGGCCGAUGACUGACGCUGAGGAGCGAAAGCGUGGGGAGCGAACAGG